GUGGUCAAAGAAAAGUGACCGCCAGGUAGGAAAAUUGAGGACAGGAUAAGAUCAAAACAAGGCUGUUUUCCUUACAACCCUGUGAGAUAUUUUGGAGAACAAGUUGAGCAUAACUUGAAUUACAAGCAGCACCACUUCUGAAUGACUCACAAGCUGCAACUCUUCUGAUGACCACUUACACAAGCAAACUUAAGGUCUUUUUUAAGAUCAAGUAUAUACUGAUACGCAGUGACUUAACUACAAAGAUGGAAAUAAGGAAAUUGAAAAUUUUGUUGGAAAAUAUGAUGAGAAAUAGGAAAUAAGAGGCCAAAGACUACUCAGAAGCUUCACAUUAAAGUGUUAUGAAUACUUCAAGAAAAGGACAACAGGUAUUGGUCAUGGAUAAUAUCACAAAAAAUUAUGUUUUGAUCAAAAAUGACUUAUUACUAAUGUGGUAGUCAUCCCCAAACUUCUUUCUGUGUAGUCAAAUUGCUGACUUAUUAGAGCAAAGCAAGUUAAUACAUAAGUCAAAAAAUAAUAAAUGAAGAAAGAUAUGCAAUUUUGAAAAUUGUAUCCUCACUUUAUUUAAACAAGUUACUGAUGAUUAAAAAUGGGAUAUAGCUAGGAAGUAGGUCAUAGAUACAAACUACAAUAAUGUCAUACAGUACUUUAACAAAUGAAAAGCAAAUGCCAUAAUUAGGAGAUUUAAAGGGCCAAAAAGUGCCUUAGUCAACAAGGAGUUGAUUUAUUUGCCAUACAGAGAGAUUUGGUAGGCAAAGGAAAAACUAGCUUAGAAAGUAAUGAACUAAAAAAAAUCUUACAAGAGAAGUAUGGCAGAAGAUUAUCAGAAUUAUUUCUUGAUAAAAGAGAAAAACAGUGGAGAGAGAGUAAAACUAGUUCAAAGACAGGUUGGUGAAAAAUCCAAUUAGCAAGCAAAAUUAACCUGAGGAUAUUUACAGAUGAAAAUGUAAGGAGAGCAACAAUAAAAAUGGAAAAGGUCUGCAAAGCUUAUCAUAUCAAAACUUUGUUCAACAUCAAGGACAGUGAAGCCACCACCUUGGACUCUAUAUCUUGGGUAUGCUUAACCAAGGACAUAGAAAUGGACAAAGAUGAGGAAAGCAACUGUAUCAAAGUAUGCAUAUAAAGAAGAGAGGCAUGCUAGUGCUGACACAACUGUGAGGAUACUAAGGGAUUAAUUCAAAAGGUAUAUGAAGAAGUCGAAGAUACAAAAGGUGUGUGUGUGGGAAAUCUCAAAUGUGAUCAAUGUUGCAAAAAAGCAACCAAGACAUCAACUACUAUGAAUCUAUAUGGCUACCUUUCCGUCUUUCACACACAAGUGAGGAUAUAUUUGAUGGGAAACCAGCCAAGUUUCAUGAAGUAAAAUUGCGCAAUUAAUCACAUCUUUACCAGAUCACUACUAAAAAAAAUGCAAAAAAUACAGAAAUUCCAUUGUGAAAAAAGCAUUUGAAUCAAUAGAGCAAAAUGCCACCACUCUGUCUUCCUAUGAAGAAUGAGAUAACCUUAUUAGUGAUCCUCUAAUUAUCAACAUCAGAUGAGACACAGAACUGUCUUGAAGAGAGAGAAUCUUGGACAGACGCUGAAAUGAACAAGUUAGGCCCAGAAAUUACAGAGGAGUAAGAGAAUGGACUGGACUGCCUUUGGGAAACUGCAGACUUUCUUUAAUGACACCAAACUUCUCCCAGAAACAAAAGCCCGUUACUUUAAUUCUAACAUUAUACAACUGUUAUAUGGGUACAAAACAUAGAACAUAAUAGCAUCUGUAAAAUUUUUACAAGUAUUAGUUAGAGGUCAACAGAGAGCUAUGUGGUGGGUGUGAGGCAGGAUUCUGCACAUAAGUUAAGAACUUCAAAAAAGAACUGGAAUAAAGGAUAUAAUUGCGUGAUUGAAAAAGGAGAUAAGCUGGUCAGACAGAAUAAAGGAAAACCAAUGGACAAUUGGCCCAUUUCACUGGUAUCCUAGUAGUGUCAGGAGAAAGUGAGGAAGCUUCUUGCCCUACUGGGUCAAUCCUCUAUGACAAACUUUGUUGGAAGUAAAUGGAAAACUAAUAGGCAUGGAAGAAAAUUAUAAAUUACUUCCUUGGUGGGAUUCUUCAUAUUGAUGAGAUCACUCAUCAUUUGAGUAUACUUCAAGAGUAUCAAACAGGAACUGAAGUCAUGGGAAAGGGUAAAAACUACAUUAUAAUUAAAGGCAUAAAUAAAUAAGCAGUACCAAUUUUAGCAUGGAAUGGCAUAGAGGAAAAAAAGGCUUACAUGGCAAGACACUAAUUCUAGAAAAGAAGGAAAUUAACAGACUAAAAGAAAAUGCUGGGUAAGUUUGAUUCGAUAAACCUAUGGGGACUUCUGACAAUACAUUUUUUGGUUCAGGCUCCUAUGGGACUUAUUUUUUAAGAAAUCAUGUGAUUGGUCACAAAGAACUUAUAAAUAAAUGUGGACAGACAGAAAUCUUUAAAACAUUCUGUAAAGACCAUAACCCAAAACUCUAACAAAUGAAGAAAUCUGAACAAAAGAUGCAGCUCUAAAGACAGACUAAAAAAAUCUUUAAUAAAAAGUGAAUUAAAGACCAAAUAAUAGGAACAAUAAAAAAUAAAAGAUAAUAACAAGACCUAUCAAAUUUUAUGGGAUAUAACUAAAGCAAUCCUUAGCAGAAAAUUUAUACAACUGAAUGCACCUAUUACCAAGAAGGCAAAAAAGAAAUAAGGAAAAGAGAAAAUAAUAAAAACUCUAAAAAUUCA
Molecule: non-coding RNA, 2731 nt
Organism: Phascolarctos cinereus (koala)
Lineage: Eukaryota; Metazoa; Chordata; Mammalia; Diprotodontia; Phascolarctidae
Source: RefSeq, a predicted model, not a curated record